RNAcentral lists this ribosomal RNA (839 nucleotides) under Myxobolus ridgwayi. RNAcentral describes it as "bacterial SSU rRNA". It matches the Rfam family "Eukaryotic small subunit ribosomal RNA", at positions 1059 to 1777 of the family's 1831-position model. Lineage: Eukaryota; Metazoa; Cnidaria; Myxozoa; Bivalvulida; Myxobolidae. The record is from RNAcentral.
UGGUGAUAUUACAAGGCACCAAGUUGGUCUCCAAGGGGAAACCAUAAGUUUUUUCGGUUACGGGGAGAGUAUGGUCGCAAGGCUGAAAUUUAAAGGAAUUGACGGAAGGGCACCACCAGGGGUGGAACCUGCGGCUUAAUUUGACUCAACACGGGGAAACUUACAUGGUCCAGACAUCGAUAGGAUAAACAGACUGAUAGAUCUUUUUUGAUGCGGUGAGUGUGGUGCAUGGCCGUUCCUAGUUCGUGGAGUGAUCUGUCAGGUUUAUUCCGGUAACGAACGAGACUACAACCUUCAUUUAAGAGGCAAAAGCAGGUUUCGCGAUUGACUGUACCUUGGUGCUUUCUUUCGUGUCUCUGAAAGAAGAAUAUGCUGUUAUUCAGUUGGCAGGGUGAUCGGGCAACCGUGAAGUCUGUCAGCCGGGUAAUAUGUGUAUUUUCUCUUUUGUCAAGCAGUCCGAGGGUAACCUUUGGCUGACUUAUGGAGGGACUGCUGGUGUUACAAAACCAGAGGAAGUGUGGCGAUAACAGGUCAGUGAUGCCCUUCGAUGUCCAUGGCUGCACGCGCGUUACAAUGAUAACGUCAGAAAGUAUCUGUUUCGAGAGAAAUAGGUAAUCUUUAAUCGUUAUCGUGAUGGGGAUUGACCGUUGUAAAUCGGUCAUGAAAUAGGAAUCCCGAGUAUAUGCUAUUUAUUAAAUAGUAUAGAUUUAGUCCCUGCCCUUUGUACACACCGCCCGUCGCUACUACCGAGUGAAUGGUGUCAUGAUGCGCUGGGACCGUACUUUGAAGAGGUGUCGGAACCUUUUCAAAGAUGGAUCAGCGUAAAGUGCUAGUUUCGG